This 97-nucleotide microRNA precursor is filed under the name Paramuricea clavata. The record is from RNAcentral. Lineage: Eukaryota; Metazoa; Cnidaria; Anthozoa; Malacalcyonacea; Plexauridae.
CAAACUUGAUGGUGUUUAUGACGUCGAAUAUCGACGUCGUAAACACCAAACUUGAUGGUGUUUAUGACGUCGAUAUUCGACGUCAUAAACACCAAAC